Molecule: ribosomal RNA, 468 nt
Filed under: uncultured bacterium
Lineage: Bacteria
Description: partial 16S ribosomal RNA
Rfam family: Bacterial small subunit ribosomal RNA
Source: RNAcentral
GACGAACGCUGGCGGCGUGCUUAACACAUGCAAGUCGAACGGAAAGGCCCUGCUUUUGUGGGGUGCUCGAGUGGCGAACGGGUGAGUAACACGUGAGUAACCUGCCCUUGACUUUGGGAUAACUUCAGGAAACUGGGGCUAAUACCGGAUAGGAGCUCCUGCUGCAUUGUGGGGGUUGGAAAGUUUCGGCGGUUGGGGAUGGACUCGCGGCUUAUCAGCUUGUUGGUGGGGUAGUGGCUUACCAAGGCUUUGACGGGUAGCCGGCCUGAGAGGGUGAACGGCCACAUUGGGACUGAGAUACGGCCCAGACUCCUACGGGCGGCAGCAGUGGGGAAUAUUGCACAAUGGGCGGAAGCCUGAUGCAGCAACGCCGCGUGCGGGAUGACGGCCGUCGGGUUGUAAACCGCUUUCGCCUGUGACGAAGCGUGAGUGACGGUAAUGGGUAAAGAAGCACCGGCUAACUACGUG